GACCAAUAAGCGCUGGUAGAGGAGGGACGGCGAUCACCUCAGCUGCUCAGGAUUGGCUGAGUCCACAGGCAGCCUGACCAAUAGCGGCGGUGGGGACCUGUCGGGAACUGAAUCUCAGCGGCGUGAGGGGCAGCGAGAGCCAGGAGGUGCUCCCCUGAGGGCCCGGCACGCUUCCCCGGCUCCUCGCGAGCUCCGGGCUGGGUACGCGUGGCGGUGGUAGGGGAGGGAGGGCUGAGCGCGGCGCUGUGCGGCCCGCACCGCUUGGCGGCCUCCGUGUCUCCCCUGGGGCCGCCGUACCGGUCUGACCUCACAGCUUACGGAUUCAAUAAAGUUUUCUGACUCGAA
Molecule: long non-coding RNA, 345 nt
Filed under: Gallus gallus (chicken)
Lineage: Eukaryota; Metazoa; Chordata; Aves; Galliformes; Phasianidae
Source: RNAcentral